UUAAUUGAAACCAAAGAGAGGUAUAUCACUGUUAAUGAUAAAAUUGAGACAUCUCCAAUUAAA
RNAcentral lists this transfer RNA (63 nucleotides) under Longitarsus exsoletus. Its description in RNAcentral is "tRNA-Asn". Lineage: Eukaryota; Metazoa; Arthropoda; Insecta; Coleoptera; Chrysomelidae. The record is from RNAcentral.